This 407-nucleotide ribosomal RNA is filed under the name uncultured bacterium. Its description in RNAcentral is "partial 16S ribosomal RNA". It matches the Rfam family "Bacterial small subunit ribosomal RNA", at positions 28 to 526 of the family's 1533-position model. The record is from RNAcentral.
GACGAACGCUGGCGGCGUGCCUAAUACAUGCAAGUAGGACGCAGUUGCGAACGGGUGAGUAACGCGUAGGUAACUACCUAUUAGAGGGGGAUAACUAUUGGAAACGAUAGCUAAUACCGCAUACUAGUAGAUGGACCUGCGUUGUAUUAGCUAGUAGGUAGGGUAAUGGCCUACCAAGGCAACGAUACAUAGCCGACCUGGAGGGGGGAGCGGGCAAACUGGGACUGGGGCCCGGCCCAGAUGCCGUCGGGAGGGAGCAGUAGGGAAACUUGGGCAAUGGGGGGAACCCUGACCGAGCAACGGCGCGUGGGUGAAGAAGGUUUUCGGGUCGUAAAGCUCUGUUGUUAAGGGAGCGGUACUUAACCAGAAAGCGACGGCUAACUACGUGCCAGCAGCCGCGGUAAUUC